Molecule: long non-coding RNA, 2909 nt
Organism: Vollenhovia emeryi
Lineage: Eukaryota; Metazoa; Arthropoda; Insecta; Hymenoptera; Formicidae
Exons: 3
Source: RefSeq, a predicted model, not a curated record
GUAUAAUCUUUCUUCGAGCGAGCGUGAUAUCGUAAACGCGCGGCGUAUAAAGCAUAUCGCCCGGCUGGGUUACAUAAUGCGCGAACGUAAAUAGAGGCAUAAUUCAAAAUUGCAUAAGACGGCAAGUUACGAUCCUAUAACUCCUGUAGUGAAGUGAUUGCAUCCCGCCGAUACGCGUUCGUCCUGAUAAAUAUCUAAAAGUUGUACCACAAUGCCAGAUGGGACCACUUGAAUCGAACAUGACGAAAGAUUUGCCGAUACGCUCCUUUUCGUUUACACUACGAAAGGAUGCACUCUCGGCGGAUACUGCAAGAAAUAACAUAGCCUUCGGAAGACUCGAGGAGACGCAUCGUGUCAACAGUACGAUCGCGGGUCACCGGCGUGUUGUUCGUUUCGGAGCGAAAACGUGUAACGAGUUAACGUCUAUUCCCCGUGGUACACCUGGAAAAUAAACUAGGCCGCGCGCUAUCCACCUGCUUGUCAAAACUUUCGUCGGUGUGUGUCCCGUUGCAUACAUUUGGCAGCGUGAUUGCCCUGCGGGCCCUGACACUGACGACACCCAGUGCCAAUAACGUGCUUUUAAGCGGGUUAAGGCAAUUUGCAUCGGAGUGACCAUGCGCACCUGAAAUAGGUCGCUCUGCCAUCCGUCCGCGGAACCUGAUGAUUUUUUACGGGAACAACUUCGUCGGCCGCGAGCGGUCGGCGUUUGCAUACAAACCAUGGGCGGAGGCUAGAAAUAUCCCAGAACCGAGUUCGACUUGAAACUUCAUGAAUAUGUGAAAGUACUUGCACGCCGGUGCUAUACGUAGGCCCAUGAAAGUUUUAAUCAGACGCGUGACACUUGAUAUUGGGCCGCGCAUUGCCGAAAGACCCUGUGGUAGUUGGCUGUUUAAUGUUUAAUGUUUAAUCUACUUAGACACUAGUGACGAAGCGACACACGAUCAACUUUGUCCCGUCAAUCGAAUAAAACUGUAACUGCGAACCUAUCCAUAUCGAUUGGAUCUAACUGAAUUAUUAAACGUAGGCACAGCUUGCAGUCAAAGUCCGACGGAUUGAGCGGUUGGGACGCCCAUUGUCCUUCUUCGUGAUUAAUACGUCAGAAUAUGCUAGUUAUACGAAAGCCAGGGUUACAUUUAUGUAAUAAGGAAAAGCGAUCGAUUUCAGCUGAGUCCAAGUUCGACCUAGUUUCAAGUUAAUUGCCAACAAGACAUAAACAAAUAUUUCUAAUACCCAUUAAUGUAAUUAGCUAUAAGAAUAAGAUAAAACUUUCUGUAGAUAUUAUCCCAAUGUUGCGAUACACGUUGAGUCUUAUUAAGGGUCUACAGAGUUGUUAAUUUCUCCGAGAAGAAUGUACAUCAAAGUUAGGUAAAAUGAAAAAAUUGACUUGAUCACGAUUUCUUAUUUAAUCGUGUCAAUUGUGAGGUAGUAACUCGCAAGGACGGCAGGAAGAAAAGGGAAUUCUAAGGCUGUCGCUGAGCGCACCGCGAUCUCUCUCCCGUCUCUUACUGACAAAUCGGGGAGAUAGGUUACCCACCGAGGGAAAUGGAAGGGAAAGCUUUUGGAAGAAUUACGAGAGGCGAACGAUGUCGCGGACAGAGACACGCCGUGUCGAUAUCUCUUGUACCCGAGAUAAGAAUGUCCUCCGUCGAGCGCGCAUGGGGCACGAAUGAAAAUGGAUCGGUCGCGGAGAAUCCACGUGUACGGAGACGAAUCUGCCUAACGAGAUGCACUCGCCAACAUUUUCGAAAACAUUUGAAUGUCUGAGACGGAUUUAUUGCACGCUUACGCGUCUCAGAUUACGUCGCGUGCUUCUGGCUUGAAUUAAAAUAGGGAACGACGCAAUAUCACUUUGAAGAGAUCUUAUAAUUUACUGGGACCCGUCGAGCGCUUCUGCCUUCAUCCAGCGGCUUGAUUUUUCUUAACAAGUAUGAGAAAGAGAGAAAAAGAGGGAGAGCGAGGGAGACACUUUUCAUUGCGGAUUUUUUAUCUCGGAAUGAAGUUGCUCGACUGAAAAAAAAGGGGAUAAAAAUAUUAAAUCCAGUGCGGGAUAAUCGGGAUGUGUCGCAAGAUACUCGCAAGCGGAUUCGUACUUUGAAGAUGACACUUCUUGCAAAAGCGUUUUUCGCAACCGCGUGAGGCGCGAGGCGUUAUCCUCGACGAGGGUGGAAUGAAAUUUUGCCGGUUCGAAAAGCGCGAGCGGAGCAACGUUCCCGGUGACAGAAGUUUUCAGGCUUGGCGGAGGAACAAGUGAAAAUAUCUGAGAUGCCCGCAAGUUCCGCGGCAAGUUAUGGCAGCUUUUUUCUGUGGUGGACGUCAACGCGGAGAGGUGGUUUGUUACUAUCUCUGGCGCUCCCGGACGAAUUUCUGCCGGGAGAAGGAACAGGUGGAGGACGAAGAAUAAUGCUCUCUUCGUGGGUAGCUGCACCUCCUUGUGCCGCCAAUUCGCCAAGAUUGAAUUGUCUGCCCGACGGAGUGACUUGUCGUUACGCGGCUUACACCGGCGACGAGCUUGCGACUUCCAUCUGCGCGAUGAAAAAUCUUGGCGGCGCUGCACGUUCAGCAAAGCGCUCGUAACGAAAGAGACAUGCCAGGACUUAGCUUCGUAACCCCGAAUGCAAUUUUUUAGUAAUAAGUUCGAAAACGUCGCUAAUCCGACAAAAUGAGCCUACUAGUACAACGAAUCGUGGUUUCUUAUUUAAAUGAAUUUAUCUGCUUUCUUCUCUCACGUGUGUCUUCUCUUUAUGUAAUUAUGUAUCAAUAAAAACUGUAAAGUCUAAAAGAAGCUCUGAUUCAUUAUUCCCAAAGCUUGGCGAAAAUGCGAUGCCAUUUUAUAUUCCAUCCCAACUCUAUUAAGACUGAUUUAUAAACAAUUAUGUAUUGAAAAGCGCAGGGGAGCGCGUAUUUACUUC